UACGUAGGGGGCGAGCGUUGCCCGGAUUUACUGGGCGUAAAGCGCGCGUAGGCGGUCUCAUAAGUCUGGUGUGAAAUCUCACGGCUCAACCGGGAGGCUGCACUGGAUACUGUGAGACUGGAGGGUAGGAGAGGAGAUCGGAAUUCCUGGUGUAGCGGUGGAAUGCGUUGAUAUCAGGAGGAACACCAAUGGCGAAGGCAGAUCUCUGGCCUAUCUCUGACGCUGAGGUGCGAAAGCCAGGGGAGCGAAAGGG
RNAcentral lists this ribosomal RNA (253 nucleotides) under uncultured bacterium. RNAcentral's name for it is "partial 16S ribosomal RNA". It matches the Rfam family "Bacterial small subunit ribosomal RNA", at positions 524 to 776 of the family's 1533-position model. The record is from RNAcentral.